Molecule: long non-coding RNA, 2652 nt
Filed under: Sus scrofa (pig)
Lineage: Eukaryota; Metazoa; Chordata; Mammalia; Artiodactyla; Suidae
Description: lncRNA (ENSSSCG00050015086.1)
Source: RNAcentral
UUGUCUGUGCAUUUUUUUUUUUUUUAAAUCCCAAUAAGUCACUUUGUUUUAGGUGUAUCUUCUCUCAGUGACCUAUGUUUAGUUUUUGCUUCUUAGUUGAAACAGACUCUGUGUUUUAAUAGACACGUUAAAUGAUUAUUUUAUAAUGAGAUUCAGCUUCACAAAAUGCUCUCAUAUUCACAUUUGCUCUUCUCAAUGGAUAAAGUAAAUGCAAAAUGUCAUUCCUACUUUACAUGUAAGAAAAUGCAAAACCAAACAGGUUUAAUAUAUUUCCCAACGUUAUUCAGUUGGGAAAGUAAGUGGCAGUGUAAGACUUAACAAAGGGAUAAUAAUACUAAAAUUAUUGCCUUUUUCCAAAUAGUUAAUAUAUCAUUGCUGAACAUCAUAUUCAGAUGGACUAUUUGAUCAAAUUAUCUGCCUUUUUUCCAGAAGAGAAAUUUAUACUAUUUAUUUGUAUUGACAUAAAGGAUAUGUUUGGCUCUAUCUCUGUGAACUUACUUCAUGCCCUGUGUAGUUUAUUCUUUACUGUUAAUUUCUUUGCUUCAUAUACUGAUGAUUUAGACUUCAUAUUCUUUUAUCUCUCUAUUGAUUUGGAAGCCAUGCAUCCCAUUUAUUUCUAAUAGUGAUACCUGGCAUACUGAAAAGAAUAUUAAUAUUGUUGAGUGAAUAAGUAAACCUUAAAACUUUUGAAUACUUGAAAUGGUUGAGUCUACCCCUAGAAGAAAUGAGGAUUUAUUACAAUUUUAUUUCUUGACUCUGGAAAUAUGAUAUUGGAUUUUAUAAUUACUUAGUAUUAUAUAUUAAAAUACUAAAUACUUACCAAAGCACUAUUUUAUACUACACAUUUUGUCUUUGAAGAGUAUAGUUUUACAUUUACAUUCAGUGUUAUAAAGUUACAAUUUCUUAAAUCUUAUUUUUAAUUUGUUUCAUUAUUCAUGGUCAAUUAUUUAACAUCAUUUAUUUCUCUUGAAUCCUUAAAUUUGACUUCUCUCUCAGUAACCUGGACCAUUGCUUUGUAAAUAGUGCAUGUAAGAAUCUCUGAGAAAAACUGUUAACACAGAGGUAGCAGCAUUCCAGUCAUAGAAAUUUUGGUCAGAAAAUUUGAGGAAGAUCUGAAAAUCUGUACUUCUAACUAGUUUCCAGAUAAUGCUGAUGUUACUGGACACUGAACCUCACCUAGAGCAGCCUAUAUGCCUGACCUGGCUUAUAUCCUCACGCCACUUCCCUAGUCAAAAGGUUUUAUGUUUCCUUUUUUUCUUGCAUAUUUCAGAGUUUCUUUCUGCUACUUUUACAAGUGAAAGACAACAUGAUUAUAUUUACCUUUCUUGGGUAUAUUCUAUCAAACUGUUCCAAGCAAAUUUUUUGUAGAUUUUAUAGCAAUAGCACUUAUUACAUAAUGUGACAUUUUUCCAAAAGCCAGCCUGAUUUUUGCUUCUUUGUAAACUGUUUUAUUUGCCUUGUUUAAGCCUAUGAUCUCUGUCUCUGUACUUAUCUAUUUCAUUAACUUAAUUUUUAUUGUUCUUUUCUUCAUUUCUUCCUCAUGACAGAACUUAUCAAUUUUUCUUCAGUAUCAGUGAUUUUUUUUGGUUCUUUUUAAAUAUUUGUACUGAAAUAUAGUUCAUCUAUUAAUUUCUGCUGUACAGCAAAGUGACUCAGUUAUAUAUUAUUUUUCAUAUUUUUUCUAUUAUGGUUAUCACAGCAUACUGAAUACAGUUAGUUCCUUGUGCUAUACAGUAGGACCUUGUUGUUUAUCCAUUCUAUAUAUAUUAGUUUGUAUCUGCUAAUCCAAAACUCCCCAUCCAUCCCGCUCCCAUCUGACCCCACUUUGGCAACCACAAGUUUGUUCUCUAUGUCGGUGAAUCUGUUUCUGUUUCAUAGAUAUGUUUAUUUGUGUUGUAUUUUAACUUUCACACAUAAGUGGUCAUAUUUAAAAAUAUGCAUUACUCUAUAUAAAAGUUAACAAGGAUUUACUGUACAGCACAGGAAAAUCUACUCAAUAUUCUGUAAUAAUCACUAUGGGAAAACAAUCUGAAAAAGAAUGGCUGUAUGUAUACAUAUAUCUGAAUCACUUUGCUGUACACUUGAAAUUAGCACAGCAUUGUAAGUCAACUACACUCUAAUAAGUUUUUUUAAAGUGAUAUCAUAUGGUAUUUGUCUUUCUCUUUUUGACUUAGUUUGCUUAGUAUGAUACUCUCUAGGGCCAUCAAUGUUGCUGCAAAUGGCAUUAUGUCAUUCUUUUUAUAGCUGAGUAAUAUUCCAUUGUAUAUAUAUUCCACAUCUUUAUCCAUCCUUCUGUUGAUGGACAUUUAGGUUGUUUCCAUGUCUUGGCUACUGUAAAUAGUGAUGCUAUGAAUAUGUGAUAUAUACAUACAUAUAUGUAUAUAUAUUUAAAUGUCAAUUUUUUUCAGUUUCUAAUGUAGAUUUUAUUUAUUAUGUCAUUCUGGUUUCUUUAUCACAUUUUCUUGACUAACCUGUCUUCUUUCUCAAACUAUCUGCUGUCUUUUAGUCUAAGCUUAUUCUCUCAUUUCUUUCCAUUUCUUAAAGUUAUCGAGGAUGCUGAACUGUUAAACUUCUUUCAUAUUCCUGUGGAAAAUUAUCUUGGCAUAUCAAUUGUCACUCCAAGUCUCUGAGACACUGUUCCUUUUCUCUGGU